UACGGAGGGGCCUAGCGUUGUUCGGAAUUACUGGGCGUAAAGCGCACGUAGGCGGAUCGUUAAGUCGGGGGUGAAAUCCUGGAGCUCAACUCCAGAACUGCCUUCGAUACUGGCGAUCUUGAGUCCGGAAGAGGUGAGUGGAACUCCUAGUGUAGAGGUGGAAUUCGUAGAUAUUAGGAAGAACACCAGUGGCGAAGGCGGCUCACUGGUCCGGUACUGACGCUGAGGUGCGAAAGCGUGGGGAGCAAACAGG
RNAcentral lists this ribosomal RNA (253 nucleotides) under uncultured bacterium. RNAcentral's name for it is "partial 16S ribosomal RNA". It matches the Rfam family "Bacterial small subunit ribosomal RNA", at positions 524 to 776 of the family's 1533-position model. The record is from RNAcentral.